RNAcentral lists this ribosomal RNA (596 nucleotides) under Debaryomyces hansenii. RNAcentral's name for it is "eukaryotic LSU rRNA". It matches the Rfam family "Eukaryotic large subunit ribosomal RNA", at positions 45 to 656 of the family's 3401-position model. Lineage: Eukaryota; Fungi; Ascomycota; Pichiomycetes; Serinales; Debaryomycetaceae. The record is from RNAcentral.
CCAAAGCGGAGGAAAAGAAACCAACAGGGAUUGCCUUAGUAACGGCGAGUGAAGCGGCAAAAGCUCAAAUUUGAAAUCUGGCACCUUCGGUGUCCGAGUUGUAAUUUGAAGAAGGUAACUUUGGAGUUGGCUCUUGUCUAUGUUCCUUGGAACAGGACGUCACAGAGGGUGAGAAUCCCGUGCGAUGAGAUGCCCAAUUCUAUGUAAAGUGCUUUCGAAGAGUCGAGUUGUUUGGGAAUGCAGCUCUAAGUGGGUGGUAAAUUCCAUCUAAAGCUAAAUAUUGGCGAGAGACCGAUAGCGAACAAGUACAGUGAUGGAAAGAUGAAAAGAACUUUGAAAAGAGAGUGAAAAAGUACGUGAAAUUGUUGAAAGGGAAGGGCUUGAGAUCAGACUUGGUAUUUUGCGAUCCUUUCCUUCUUGGUUGGGUUCCUCGCAGCUUACUGGGCCAGCAUCGGUUUGGAUGGUAGGAUAAUGACUAAGGAAUGUGGCUCUACUUCGGUGGAGUGUUAUAGCCUUGGUUGAUACUGCCUGUCUAGACCGAGGACUGCGUCUUUUGACUAGGAUGUUGGCAUAAUGAUCUUAAGCCACCCGUCUUG